This 21-nucleotide microRNA is filed under the name Echinococcus granulosus. Its description in RNAcentral is "egr-miR-31-3p". Its record names the gene egr-miR-31-3p. Lineage: Eukaryota; Metazoa; Platyhelminthes; Cestoda; Cyclophyllidea; Taeniidae. The record is from miRBase by way of RNAcentral.
AGCUUCGUCUGGUCUUGCUGC